GACGAACGCUGGCGGCGUGCCUAACACAUGCAAGUCGAACGGAAAGGCCCUGCUUUUGUGGGGUGCUCGAGUGGCGAACGGGUGAGUAACACGUGAGUAACCUGCCCUUGACUUAGGGAUAACUUCAGGAAACUGGGGCUAAUACCGGAUAGGAGCUCCUGCUGCAUGGUGGGGGUUGGUAAGUUUCGGCGGUUGGGGAUGGACUCGCGGCUUAUCAGCUUGAUGGUGGGGUAGUGGCUUACCAAGGCUUUGAAGGGUAGCAGGCCUGAGAGGGUGACCGGCCUCAUUGGGCCUGAGAUACGGCCCAGACUCCAACGGGACGCAGCGGUGGGGAAUAUUGCACAGUGGGCGGAAGCCUGAUGCAGCAACGCCGCGUGCGGGAUGACGGCCUUCGGGUUGUAAACCGCUUUCGCCUGAGACGAGGCGUUAGUGACGGUAAUGGGUAAAGAAGCACCGGCUAACUACGUG
RNAcentral lists this ribosomal RNA (468 nucleotides) under uncultured bacterium. RNAcentral describes it as "partial 16S ribosomal RNA". It matches the Rfam family "Bacterial small subunit ribosomal RNA", at positions 28 to 507 of the family's 1533-position model. The record is from RNAcentral.